This 400-nucleotide unclassified non-coding RNA is filed under the name uncultured bacterium. RNAcentral describes it as "contains 16S-23S intergenic spacer region". The record is from RNAcentral.
CAGCAGCUCACGCUGGCUCUCCGCGUUGGCCAGGAGUCCCUUGGCCGCGGACAGGAAGGUGGCAUUCGGCGCACUGCCCGACGGGAGCUUGAACCGCCCGGUCAAUUCCGCCCGGUCCCUGGCCGCCACCGACCCCACGGCCACCAGAUACCGGAUGAGCUGGAAGUGCAACACCCGCCGGAGCUCCUUCCGGUGGGCCCGGGCGCCCCGCGCCGCCUCGCGUCCCUUCCGUUCCCUAUUCUCGAUCGCCUCCGCGCGGGUGAGGCUUUCCUCGAUCCGGGCCACAAUCGGCUCGUAUCCAGGCUCGAGCGACAGGUUUGCCCGGCAGAAUUCCCGGACCCGUCGGACCAUCUCCAACACACUGCGUACCUCGGACGUCAUACAACGCUCCUUUCAGGAG